This 613-nucleotide long non-coding RNA is filed under the name Ananas comosus (pineapple). Its description in RNAcentral is "long non-coding RNA (ACOM_LNC030371)". The record is from RNAcentral. Lineage: Eukaryota; Viridiplantae; Streptophyta; Magnoliopsida; Poales; Bromeliaceae.
UUGGUAUAUUUUUACCACCAAAUCUGUCAUUUCUGUCAUCUCCCACCGUCAUCCCCAUCUCCCCAAAUUAUCUAUAUCUAUAUCUAUAUCUAUUUAUAUCUAUAUCUAUAUCUAUAUCUAUACUAUAUAUAAAAACGCAUAGGAAUUCCGACAAUGACAGACAAAAUCCAAAAAAGAAUAAAAAAAUAUUCCCUAUAUUUUUUAGGAACGGAGACAAACGGGUAUGAUCACUUAAUUAAAAAAAUUUCAAAUAAGAACGAAUGAUUAUAAUUAAUCUGUUAAAAAGUAGCAUUAUUAUCCAUCUAUAAAAUAAUCCAAAAAGAAAUAAAAGAAUAUUCCCUAUAUUUUUUAUGACCAUGUAUGAUCACUUAAUUAAAAAAAUCUCAAAUAAGAAUUAACGGUUAUGAUUAAUCUGUUAGAAAAAGCAUUCUUAUCCAUCUAUAAAUCCAAUCUUACGAACGGCUGUGUCAAUUAAAAAUGAACGGUUCACUUAAUUAAAAUAAUUUCAAAUAAGAACGAACGGUUAUGAUUAAUCUGUUAAAAAAUAGCAUUCUUAUCCAAAAAUUUUAAUUAUAGUAGAUAAAAAUUAAAUUUUAAAUUUUCAAAUAAAUAU